GCUGCGAUGUCCGAGUGGUUAAGGAGAUGGACUUGAAAUCCAUUGGGUUUUACCCGCACAGGUUCGAAUCCUGUUCGCAGCG
Lucilia cuprina (Australian sheep blowfly) is the source of this 82-nucleotide transfer RNA. It matches the Rfam family "tRNA". From Rfam's summary of the family: Transfer RNA (tRNA) molecules are approximately 80 nucleotides in length. Their secondary structure includes four short double-helical elements and three loops (D, anti-codon, and T loops). The record is from Rfam. Lineage: Eukaryota; Metazoa; Arthropoda; Insecta; Diptera; Calliphoridae.